Gallus gallus (chicken) is the source of this 775-nucleotide long non-coding RNA. RefSeq lists it as uncharacterized. The record is from RefSeq and is a predicted model, not a curated record. The transcript has 2 exons. Lineage: Eukaryota; Metazoa; Chordata; Aves; Galliformes; Phasianidae.
AGAAAAAAACUGCAAUUUAAUAGAGCUCUGCGUAGAAUAUCUUAUUAAAAGGAGGAUAUUUAUUUACCAUUGUGCCAAGCAAACUAAUACGUUUAUUCUUUCCUGCACAUACAGCUUCCUUUGCCAUUAGAGUUCUGCAUGAAGAUAAAGCCUAAAACUGUAUCAUUUCAGUCAAUGGAAAUUUCUUUAUUGACUUAUGAGAGCAUGUUAUGUUCUGUAGCAGUAUAGCAAAAUAGUCUUGUAAUUUUAUCUAGGCGAGGUACUUGCAGCCAAUUUUGCUGUCAGUCCUGCUAUAUCUGUUACUGAAAAAAAUCUGAAUUUGUAUUUAUUAAAGUUUUCUGUAGUUCUCAGUUCAUGAAUUGAAAAACAGCACUUUUGUUCACCUUUUGAGAUACAGAAAAGGAUGGUUUUUUUCUUUAACUAUAUAUGUUUGUUUUCUCAGACAUUUAUCUUCUGUUUCUGUUGAUGGACUGAAUAAGCUGCUGACCAGUCUUAUCAAUUGAAGUAAAUGGCAAGACCCCCUUUAGCUUCCGUGAUUCAAAUGGAGCCUAGUAAGUGCUACAGAGUCCAGAUGUUCUGCAGCUGUUAAUCUCCCAGAAUUCAUCUCCCAUGGCAGAAGCCUAAUCCACAGAAAAGAGUAAUGCCAUUCCUACAUAACUGUUGGGUGGAACACUUGCCUGGGCAUGUGAAGAUUUGAGUCUGAAUUACAGUGGAACACAUAACUAAUAGAGUAGGCAACACAUUUUUCAAAUAAACUGAAAUACUUGGAAACUUU